RNAcentral lists this ribosomal RNA (1163 nucleotides) under Nostoc sp. WJT32-NPBGB. RNAcentral's name for it is "bacterial SSU rRNA". It matches the Rfam family "Bacterial small subunit ribosomal RNA", at positions 356 to 1532 of the family's 1533-position model. The record is from RNAcentral. Lineage: Bacteria; Bacillati; Cyanobacteriota; Cyanophyceae; Nostocales; Nostocaceae.
GGGGAAUUUUCCGCAAUGGGCGAAAGCCUGACGGAGCAAUACCGCGUGAGGGAGGAAGGCUCUUGGGUCGUAAACCUCUUUUCUCAGGGAAGAACACAAUGACGGUACCUGAGGAAUAAGCAUCGGCUAACUCCGUGCCAGCAGCCGCGGUAAUACGGAGGAUGCAAGCGUUAUCCGGAAUGAUUGGGCGUAAAGCGUCCGCAGGUGGCGAUGUAAGUCUGCUGUUAAAGAGUCUAGCUCAACUAGAUAAGAGCAGUGGAAACUACAUUGCUAGAGUACGUUCGGGGCAGAGGGAAUUCCUGGUGUAGCGGUGAAAUGCGUAGAGAUCAGGAAGAACACCGGUGGCGAAGGCGCUCUGCUAGGCCGUAACUGACACUGAGGGACGAAAGCUAGGGGAGCGAAUGGGAUUAGAUACCCCAGUAGUCCUAGCCGUAAACGAUGGAUACUAGGCGUGGCUUGUAUCGACCCGAGCCGUGCCGUAGCUAACGCGUUAAGUAUCCCGCCUGGGGAGUACGCCGGCAACGGUGAAACUCAAAGGAAUUGACGGGGGCCCGCACAAGCGGUGGAGUAUGUGGUUUAAUUCGAUGCAACGCGAAGAACCUUACCAAGGCUUGACAUGUCGCGAAUCCGAGUGAAAGCUUGGAGUGCCUUCGGGAGCGCGAACACAGGUGGUGCAUGGCUGUCGUCAGCUCGUGUCGUGAGAUGUUGGGUUAAGUCCCGCAACGAGCGCAACCCUCGUUUUUAGUUGCCAGCAUUAAGUUGGGCACUCUAGAGAGACUGCCGGUGACAAACCGGAGGAAGGUGGGGAUGACGUCAAGUCAGCAUGCCCCUUACGCCUUGGGCUACACACGUACUACAAUGCUCCGGACAGAGGGCAGCAAGCAUGCGAAUGCAAGCAAAUCCCGUAAACCGGAGCUCAGUUCAGAUCGCAGGCUGCAACUCGCCUGCGUGAAGGAGGAAUCGCUAGUAAUUGCAGGUCAGCAUACUGCAGUGAAUUCGUUCCCGGGCCUUGUACACACCGCCCGUCACACCAUGGAAGCUGGUAGUGCCCGAAGUCAUUACUCCAACCCUUAGGGGAGGAGGAUGCCUAAGGCAGGACUGGUGACUGGGGUGAAGUCGUAACAAGGUAGCCGUACCGGAAGGUGUGGCUGGAUCACCUCCUU